This 443-nucleotide ribosomal RNA is filed under the name uncultured bacterium. Its description in RNAcentral is "partial 16S ribosomal RNA". It matches the Rfam family "Bacterial small subunit ribosomal RNA", at positions 338 to 795 of the family's 1533-position model. The record is from RNAcentral.
CCUACGGGAGGCAGCAGUGGGGAAUAUUGGGCAAUGGGCGCAAGCCUGACCCAGCAACGCCGCGUGAAGGAAGAAGGCUUUCGGGUUGUAAACUUCUUUUAUCAGGGACGAAGCAAGUGACGGUACCUGAUGAAUAAGCCACGGCUAACUACGUGCCAGCAGCCGCGGUAAUACGUAGGUGGCAAGCGUUAUCCGGAUUUACUGGGUGUAAAGGGCGUGUAGGCGGGAGUGCAAGUCAGAUGUGAAAACUAUGGGCUCAACCCAUAGCCUGCAUUUGAAACUGUACUUCUUGAGUGCUGGAGAGGCAAUCGGAAUUCCGUGUGUAGCGGUGAAAUGCGUAGAUAUCUGGAGGAACAUCAGUGGCGAAGGCGACUAUCUGGCACAUAACUGACGCUGAGGAGCGAAAGCGUGGGUAGCAAACAGGAUUAGAUACCCCUGUAGUC